CCUGCCAUUGAAUGCUGUUGCAUUUCUUUUCUGUUGUACAGUGCUCCAAAUCCACUGGUUGAUGUGCUUCCUCAAGUCCUGUAAGAAAAGCUCAUGUUCUGGACACCAGUGGACUGCACACUGGACACUUCAGGUGCCUCUGAAGCAAAGCUGAGGGGACAGUAUGAAUCAGGAAUAGCAGGGCCAGCUGCAGGUACAGGCAAUGUAGGCAGGUUGCCUAUGGAUGCAGAUGUUCAGGGUGGCACAGUGGUCCCAAUAAAGAGCAGCCAAGUUCUACUCUUUCUUCUGCCAAGGUCUUUCUCCUGUGAAGAGGAAUACCAUGACUUUGAGCUGUUCAUACCAUGUGAAUAACUGAUUUCUACCUUCUGACAGCAAACUCUCGCAGCCUGAGUAAUUUACCCUUUUAUACUGUAAGGAUGCAUGUGUUAUAUUGUAUGUCUGCAUGCUUUAUACUCACUCUCAGAGUGAGUAUGCACCAGCUGCAGUAGCAAACCUGACCCUUCUGACUCGGUCCUAUCUCUGCCCCAUCCCUUCAUGGGAGCAGCUGAGCCCUGGCAGCAGUGUGGGAGAUGUAAAUGAUGAAUUAUUUACUGCUUGAGAGGUAAGGGCUGCGGGCAAGGAGAGGCACAAUCUCCUGAAACUAGAGACUGGAGGGCUGGGAUCCAGUGACAUGAAGUAGGCCUCUUAGUUCUACUCCUAGUCAUUCAAAACUCCACUGAAUCUUCUCAGCUAGUCUCAACAGUGGAUCUCCCUACACCUCUCUCUUCUCUUUCCUCCAUGGUCUUCUUCAUGCACAUCCACCUUCCACAACCUCCAUGUUCUACUGUAUACAGACUCUACUUACUGCUGCAUAAUUCAAAUUUUCCUGUCAGUGGAGGUGCCUUGAGUCAGCUCCAGUAGCCAACCACUUAAAAUUUUCCAAUCUAUUAAGCAGAUCACAUCAAGUUGUAUGCUCACUUCAAAAAUGGAAGAAAAACUCCAAAUAAAGAAAAAAAUAAUCAAAAGAUAUACCUCUGG
Molecule: long non-coding RNA, 1017 nt
Filed under: Manacus vitellinus (golden-collared manakin)
Lineage: Eukaryota; Metazoa; Chordata; Aves; Passeriformes; Pipridae
Description: lncRNA (ENSMVIG00005008531.1)
Source: RNAcentral